AGGGCCUGUCACCCAGCCUGGGGGCUGAGUCACCCACACCAGCAGGUCUCCUCUCUCUCUCUCCCCUAACAACUGUUCCAAAAGUUGCCUUUCAAUUAGUACUACCUCCUUGGGCUCCUCCCAGAGACAUCUGGGGCCAGGGAGCCAGGCAGGCCUGCUGAGGUCAUGGUGGCUGAGCACUGACUAGAAAGGAAGUAACCCGGUGACACACCAAGCAGGGCUGUCCCCAGACCAGUCCCAGAAGAAUCUGAAGCGUCCUACUGCCCUGGGGUGUUGGUCACAGCUGCCCCAAUCUCAGCCUGUGGAUGCUGCAAUUACCUCAGAGCCUGAAACUGGCUUCCCACCUGACUGAGUCAGCUGAAAACAAAACACAUCUCUACCACACGCUGGCACAAACAGCCAACCCACUAAUCAGAGUCCCCAGAUGCUGGCAGACAGAGCACAGCUCUACACUGGCCAGGAGAUCGACACAUGCCAGGGACCACCAGAGAGCGCUUGAGCAGGGCCCAGCUGCUGCCUGCCUGAGGAAGGAAGGAGGGUUCCCCUGCCGGCGCUCCAGCCCUGCCCACCGAGAAGCUCUCCCUCAGCCGGAUCUGCUCCUGUCCUGCCCU
This 611-nucleotide long non-coding RNA is filed under the name Rattus norvegicus (Norway rat). RNAcentral describes it as "long non-coding RNA NONRATT018478". The record is from RNAcentral. Lineage: Eukaryota; Metazoa; Chordata; Mammalia; Rodentia; Muridae.